AUGGGCAGCGGAGCGUCUGUCAGUGAGGAGCCCCGGCUGGACACGCUGGAAGCCCGGGAGGCGGAGCCCGGAGACACCUGGGCCUCCACACCUGCAGAAGGGAGCAACGACACCCUGCAGGCAGAUUUGAAGGAAGGCAAAGCUGAGAGUCACACUGUGGACGCCCAGUCUGUGAAGAGUGAUGGAGGAACCAGCAAAGAGAUGGAGGAGGAGGAAGCAGCCCAGCCGGUGGUGGAUCCAGCUGUGACUGAAACUGCAGCAGAAGGGGAAGAAGUGUCUCUGCACUUCGAGAGUUUCCUCCAUGAAAACGGGAUGCUGUACAGCUGCUUCAGUCACCAUGGAAACAGAGUUUACAUGGACGCGUCUCAGAAACUGCAGCCGUUUCCAAAGGAGUGGUACAAUCAGGGACACUUCAUCGCCACACGCAGUGAGGGCUCUGGUCAGCUGCAGACUCACGGCAGCAGCCAGUCGACGGUCUGGGAGGACGACCGCACCGGCAGCAUCUACAUCCAGGGCAGAGGAACCGUCAUGACCUACAGGUUUGUGGUGAGAUGA
RNAcentral lists this long non-coding RNA (555 nucleotides) under Oreochromis niloticus (Nile tilapia). Its description in RNAcentral is "lncRNA (ENSONIG00000036155.1)". Lineage: Eukaryota; Metazoa; Chordata; Actinopteri; Cichliformes; Cichlidae. The record is from RNAcentral.